CCCCAAGUGGCUCAGCAGUAAAGAAUCUGCCUGCCAAGCAGGAGGCACGGGUUCGAUCCCUGGGUUGGGAA
Molecule: transfer RNA, 71 nt
Filed under: Bos taurus (domestic cattle)
Lineage: Eukaryota; Metazoa; Chordata; Mammalia; Artiodactyla; Bovidae
Also listed under: 4 other names
Rfam family: tRNA
About the family: Transfer RNA (tRNA) molecules are approximately 80 nucleotides in length.
Source: Rfam by way of RNAcentral